AUUCCACAGGAGAGAAGAAAGCAGCCCCAGGAAGCCUGGCCUCGAGGACUGUGAGGUAUGGUGGGGACUUGUUGUGCCUUGGACUGGACAAGAGGCACCCUGGGCUCUGGACACAGCCGGAUCUUCAGACCAUUGCAUCUCUAGCCCAGGGCAGGCCCUUUAUCUUAUAGCCCAGCGGUGCCUCUCUCCUCACCUAGGAAACAAAGCCAACAGGAUCUGCACCACCUCCGCCUCCGGGACAUUGGAAGGACUAAAUAAGAUCACAGCCCUCAUUCCUAGAUGGAAUGAGAAAUGGUAACAACCACGAUCCUCCCAAGAUCUGCACCACAAGGGAAAAUCAGAACCUUCAGCUGCCGGAAGCACUGCGGCAGAAACAUAGGUCCCCAUCCAGGCUGAUCUGAGCUUGGCUUUCUGGAGCACACAAACCUCAAUGCACCAAACUGCUGCUGGAUCUCACCUUGCCAGGCCCACUGUGCUCAGACUCACACAUCGCUCCAUCCUCUGGAGGCUGCAGAGGCAAGAUCCACCAAGAAGGUGGUCUUCCUGUCCAGGAUGCUCUUCCCUGAGAGAAGUGUAUUUAAUCUUAAGUUCAGAUGUUUGUUUGUCUACCCACUUAAAACACCCUGUUGAAUAAAAAUUACUCAAGGAA
This 649-nucleotide long non-coding RNA is filed under the name Pongo abelii (Sumatran orangutan). Its description in RNAcentral is "lincRNA". The record is from RNAcentral. Lineage: Eukaryota; Metazoa; Chordata; Mammalia; Primates; Hominidae.